AUUGAACGCUGGCGGCAUGCCUUACACAUGCAAGUCGAACGGCAGCACGGGAGCAAUCCUGGUGGCGAGUGGCGAACGGGUGAGUAAUAUAUCGGAACGUGCCCAGUCGUGGGGGAUAACGCAGCGAAAGCUGUGCUAAUACCGCAUACGAUCUAAGGAUGAAAGCGGGGGAUCGCAAGACCUUGCGCGAUUGGAGCGGCCGAUAUCAGAUUAGCUAGUUGGUGGGGUAAAGGCCCACCAAGGCGACGAUCUGUAGCUGGUCUGAGAGGACGACCAGCCACACUGGAACUGAGACACGGUCCAGACUCCUACGAGAGGCAGCAGUGGGGAAUUUUGGACAAUGGGCGCAAGACCGAUCCAGCAAUGCCGCGUGCAGGAUGAAGGCCUUCGGGUUGUAAACUGCUUUUGUACGGAACGAAACGGCCCUUUCUAAUACAGGGGGCUAAUGACGGUACCGUAAGAAUAAGCACCGGCUAACUACGUGCCAGCCGCCGCAGUAA
RNAcentral lists this ribosomal RNA (500 nucleotides) under uncultured bacterium. RNAcentral's name for it is "partial 16S ribosomal RNA". It matches the Rfam family "Bacterial small subunit ribosomal RNA", at positions 30 to 523 of the family's 1533-position model. The record is from RNAcentral.